AUUUAAAUAGCUUAAAUUAUUAAUAGAGCGUAACAUUGAAGAUGUUAAAGUGAUAUAAUUAUCUUUAAAUA
This 71-nucleotide transfer RNA is filed under the name Inopinoteuthis magna. Its description in RNAcentral is "Cirrothauma magna tRNA-Phe". Lineage: Eukaryota; Metazoa; Mollusca; Cephalopoda; Octopoda; Cirroteuthidae. The record is from RNAcentral.